GCGGACGUGGCGGAAUGGUAGACGCGCUAGAUUUAGGUUCUAGUCUCGUGAGGGGUAAGAGUUCGAGUCUCUUCGUCCGCA
This 81-nucleotide transfer RNA is filed under the name Synechococcaceae cyanobacterium SM2_3_2. RNAcentral's name for it is "tRNA-Leu". It matches the Rfam family "tRNA". From Rfam's summary of the family: Transfer RNA (tRNA) molecules are approximately 80 nucleotides in length. Their secondary structure includes four short double-helical elements and three loops (D, anti-codon, and T loops). The record is from RNAcentral. Lineage: Bacteria; Bacillati; Cyanobacteriota; Cyanophyceae; Synechococcales; Synechococcaceae. RNAcentral also lists the same sequence under 1 other name.